Molecule: ribosomal RNA, 486 nt
Filed under: uncultured bacterium
Lineage: Bacteria
Description: partial 16S ribosomal RNA
Rfam family: Bacterial small subunit ribosomal RNA
Source: RNAcentral
GAUGAACGCUGGCGGCGUGCCUAAUACAUGCAAGUCGAACGCUGGAAAUCUAGCUUGCUAGAUUGAAGGAGUGGCGAACGGGUGAGUAAUACAUAAGCAACCUACCCACGAAGACUGGGAUAAUCUCUGGAAACGGGGACUAAUACCGGAUAGGUAAUCGGAAGGCAUCUUCUGAUUAUUAAAGGUUAAAAACACUGGUGGAUGGGCUUAUGGCGCAUUAGUUAGUUGGUGAGGUAACGGCCCACCAAGACGAUGAUGCGUAGCCGGCCUGAGGGGGUGAACGGCCGCAUGGGGACUGGGGCACGGCCCAGACUCCUACGGGAGGCAGCAGUAGGGAAUUUUCGGCAAUGGGGGAAACCCUGACCGAGCAACGCCGCGUGAGUGAUGACGGCCUUCGGGUUGUAAAGCUCUGUUGUAAGGGAAGAACGGUAGAUAGAGAAUAUCUAAAUGACGGUACCUUACCAGAAAGCCACGGCUAACUACGUG